Molecule: long non-coding RNA, 1491 nt
Organism: Aedes albopictus (Asian tiger mosquito)
Lineage: Eukaryota; Metazoa; Arthropoda; Insecta; Diptera; Culicidae
Exons: 3
Source: RefSeq, a predicted model, not a curated record
UCAUUUCAAAUAUCAUGUAGUGCCGAAAAUGGUGCAGUACGGUAAUGCUGCUAUAGCAACAUUUUGACAGCUCUUGCGUCGGCAAAUCAACACCAUCACCGGAGUCACGAUCACAACAACCAAAAACAAAAACGUAAAUAGAGUGAAAUUUUUGAAAAUUUCUUUUGAUUCGCGAGUGAUUUCGACGAAAAAAUCGCGAUUGUGUAGAUUUUGAGUGUUUGUUUUACGAAGAGAACACCAUUGCGGAUGGAAAUAGGAAGUGGGGGACCAACGCUGUACUGUAACAGUAGGAAGAUGCGACUAAAAGACGUUUUACGAACGAGGUUCAAAUUCAAGAACCCAUCAGUAAUAAUCUGAAGCUUCCGCAGGAGAAAAACAGAUUGAUCAGCAACCGUCAAGAAGUACCUCCUGACUGAACGUGAUCCAUGUGAAAACAUCGGCCAAACGGGAGCUUGUAAAAAGAGUGCGUAGCAGUCGGGAACGAGAACAACGCCGGAAAUGUAGCUGUCCAGAAGACACAAAAAGGGUGUGAGUACCGCUUACUGGUCGAUUAUCAAGAAGACCCUAUUCUCGAUGCUCGAUAACCUCCAUCUGUUCCGGUGAGGCGACUGGGGAGCAGCUUAAUCUGGGUUCGGAUUGGUCGCCGUAUAAAUAUCAAAUUUGUCAAUAAUGAAGAAGAAAAGAGUGGCAUCCGGGUCUGGUUUCGUGUGAAGCCAUCGUCUCCCACGCUUCACACGAAAACUGCACGUGAUUGUCCGGCAUUGGAACCGAUGCCAAAGGUGAAUCGCGGCGGCAUUUUCGCGAUUGUCCGCCGCAAUCAAUUGCUCCGUCACGACCAACCGAGCAGAUCUGACAUCCACUUCCCGAAUCCCAAAGUAACACACCAAUCGCAGGAACAAGAAUACCGAAAAUGUGAAGAUAACCUGUAGUAUGUACCUAGUAGGGUAUGAUCGUGGAGGAAUGGUACCCCUCCACCGAAACGAUACGAAUACCUGCGCUGGCCGGUUAGUGCCCCUAGGAGCUGAUGAUGAUAAAUGAUUUUUUUUGCUUCAUGGACGAAGUCAUGAUGGCCUCUUCCAAAGUAUCAACAAAAGCAAUCUUCUUGUUAUUGUUAUUCAGGCCUCCUUGUUAUGUGACGACCAUUCCAACAUGAUAUGCCGUGUUUCAUCAGAAUUACAUACAUCUGUUUAUAUAUAUCAUGUAAGAUUGAGAAAACAAGACGAGGUGUACAUGUAUAAAUUACUUUUCACAUAAUUCAAUGUAUAAAACUAUUCUUAUUUGAACUCUGCCGAAAUGUCCAGUUUUGAAAAAGUAAAUCAUUUUGUAGUUCUGCAACAUAAAUGAGGCCUCAAUGGCAUGGCGCACAUUUAUUAUCUAAUAUAUAAAUAAAAUCUUGAACAUUCAAGCGUUCAAGUGAAAUAAAACUGCAUUGUUAUUUCCCUCAAUAGUUGACAUUCCAGUAAAAUCAAACGGGGGGACAGGAUGAACCUU